Homo sapiens (human) is the source of this 148-nucleotide non-coding RNA. It matches the Rfam family "Metazoan signal recognition particle RNA". Rfam says of the family: The signal recognition particle (SRP) is a universally conserved ribonucleoprotein. It is involved in the co-translational targeting of proteins to membranes. The record is from Rfam. Lineage: Eukaryota; Metazoa; Chordata; Mammalia; Primates; Hominidae.
GCUGGGCAUGGUGGCGCAUGCCUGUAAUCCCAGCUACACAGGAGGCUGAGGAAGGAGAAUCGCUUGAACCCGGGAGGCGGAGGUUGCAGUGAGCCAAGAUCGUGCCACUGCACUCCAGCCUGGGCAACAGAGCGAGACUCCAUCUCAA